This 379-nucleotide unclassified non-coding RNA is filed under the name uncultured Oligoflexales bacterium. RNAcentral describes it as "contains 16S-23S intergenic spacer region". The record is from RNAcentral. Lineage: Bacteria; Pseudomonadati; Bdellovibrionota; Oligoflexia; Oligoflexales.
UCCGUGUUCACCACGGCAGUCUCCUUAGAGAGCCCAACUGAAUGCUGGCAACUAAGGACAAGGGUUGCGCUCGUUGCGGGACUUAACCCAACAUGUCACCACACGAGCUGACGACAGCCAUGCAGCACCUGUCUCCCGGUCGGAUUGCUCCGAAAACUGCAUCUCUGCAGCGGUCCGAGGAUGUCAAACCCAGGUAAGGUUCUUCGCGUUGCUUCGAAUUAAACCACAUGAUCCACCGCUUGUGCGGGCCCCCGUCAAUUCCUUUGAGUUUUAGUCUUGCGACCGUACUUCCCAGGCGGGGCACUUAUCGCGUUAGCUCAGACUCGGCAGGGGUCAAGACCCGCCAAAUCGAGUGCCCAUCGUUUACAGCGUGGACUAC